RNAcentral lists this ribosomal RNA (253 nucleotides) under uncultured bacterium. RNAcentral describes it as "partial 16S ribosomal RNA". It matches the Rfam family "Bacterial small subunit ribosomal RNA", at positions 524 to 776 of the family's 1533-position model. The record is from RNAcentral.
UACGUAGGGGGCAAGCGUUGUCCGGAUUUACUGGGCGUAAAGAGCGCGCAGGCGGUCGGAUAAGUCGAAUGUGAAAGCCCCUGGCUCAACCAGGGAGGGUCAUUCGAUACUGUUCGACUCGAAGGCAGGAGAGGGAAGUGGAAUUCCGGGUGUAGUGGUGAAAUGCGUAGAUAUCCGGAGGAACACCAGUGGCGAAGGCGACUUUCUGGCCUGUUCUUGACGCUGAGGCGCGAAAGCUAGGGGAGCAAACGGG